GAUGAACGCUGGCGGCGUGCCUAAUACAUGCAAGUCGAGCGAACAGACGAGGAGCUUGCUCCUCUGACGUUAGCGGCGGACGGGUGAGUAACACGUGGAUAACCUACCUAUAAGACUGGGAUAACUUCGGGAAACCGGAGCUAAUACCGGAUAAUAUAUUGAACCGCAUGGUUCAAUAGUGAAAGACGGUUUUGCUGUCACUUAUAGAUGGAUCCGCGCCGCAUUAGCUAGUUGGUAAGGUAACGGCUUACCAAGGCAACGAUGCGUAGCCGACCUGAGAGGGUGAGCGGCCACACUGGAACUGAGACACGGUCCCGACUCCUACGGGAGGCAGCAGUAGGGAAUCUUCCGCAAUGGGCGAAAGCCUGACGGAGCAACGCCGCGUGAGUGAUGAAGGUCUUCGGAUCGUAAAACUCUGUUAUUAGGGAAGAACAAAUGUGUAAGUAACUAUGCACGUCUUGACGGUACCUAAUCAGAAAGCCACGGCUAACUACGUG
This 497-nucleotide ribosomal RNA is filed under the name uncultured bacterium. RNAcentral's name for it is "partial 16S ribosomal RNA". It matches the Rfam family "Bacterial small subunit ribosomal RNA", at positions 28 to 507 of the family's 1533-position model. The record is from RNAcentral.